GUCAAACAUGUUUGUAAAAUACUGGCUUUAAUUUAAACUGCUCUCUUUAUUAUAGGACUUCCAGAAAUUUUACUUUACUAAGAAUGACUCUGCAAGAAGGGAUCAUAUUCAGCAACAUCACCUUGUUGCGCAAACUCAUCGCUCACGAAUCUUUAUUUACUACAAAUUAUUUUUAGGACUUUGAAACUAUCCAGAGAAAAAGAACAGUUGUUCAGCUAGCACUAGGUUAGUUCAAAUCCAAAGCUGGCCCAUGUUCACUAUUUGACCUUAAGGAAUGUAUUUAAACUGUGUGAACUUCCAUUUUGUCAUCUAUAUAAUAGAGGAAAUAAUUUCUGUUGUCUUCACAUUGUAGGACAAGUAAAUGUGCCCUACAUACUCUUGUAUGGUGGGUGAAAUAUCAAGAGCCUCCUUAUUAUGGCAGAGAGGAAGGUGAUCUCCUUAUUUUUCAGGUCCUGGGAAGCCCUUCUGUCCACUGAAUAAAGCUUUCCAUGGGGGUGGCAGUUGGUGAGGCAGCAGAAUCCCAAAGUUAGCAAAAAACCAUACCCAUGAUUGUUCAGCUCUCUUGGUAAUUCAUUGCUGAGGUCUUUUGUAUGUAAACUCUGUGCCCAUCUCACUUAGAGCCUAAAGUCCAGAUAAGCUGCCCUGCUUGGGCUGUGUUUCACAUUUAUCUGCAAGUAAAGAAGCAAGUCAGCAUUGGAAGACUCAUUCUGGUUAAGAAUUUAGAACAUGUAGGUCUGUUUCAGGCACAGCCAUUUACUAGCUAAGUGAUCUUGGGCAAAUUGUUUAGCUUCUUUGUGCCAUAGUUUUCUUAUUGGGAUAAGGUGAAAAUGAAAUGAUUGCUAUGUGUAAAACAUUCCUUCCCCCUGACUUUUUUUUUUCCAAAGAUAAAAUGAGUUCACUAUUCAAAUGGAAGAUGGUGGCUGUAACUUCUGGCACAUAGUAGGAAUUCUCUGCUGUAAUGUGCUCCUGAAGAAGGUUGUAAUCUUGAUAGAGAUGUGGCUGUAACAUCACUUUCUUUGCAGUACCCUUUACAGACAGUUUUUGGUGUUAUUCUGUUUCCUGUCCAUAUUCAUUUCAUUGAUAGUUUGUAGCGUUUGCCAAAACCUCCUCUUGAAAUUCUUACUGCAUGCUUCUUUUCCUUCCUCUUACUUCAUGUCAUUCCUUAUUUCCUUUGCUGUCUCCUCUUCCUUCUCAUCUCAUUAAAAACAGUUUUUUCCUCAAGGUUCUGCCAUUAGCUUUCUUUAUUUACUCCAUUAAUAUUUCUCAAAAUUGGCCUUAGAAUCACGGUGACUACUUUUUAAAAGUUCAGUCUCAUUGCCCCUCCAGGCAGCUUCUGAAUUAGAUUCUCUGGGAGUCAGAUCCUGGAAUCUAU
RNAcentral lists this long non-coding RNA (1372 nucleotides) under Homo sapiens (human). RNAcentral describes it as "HSALNT0178844". Lineage: Eukaryota; Metazoa; Chordata; Mammalia; Primates; Hominidae. The record is from RNAcentral.